AGAUAGAGGUGCGGUUUUUAAGAGUAGAUUUAUGGAGAAGGUCAAUUCGAUGAAAUAACUUGAAAGGGGAAAUCGCCGAAGUACAAAGAGUGACGAACUUUGCUACUGGGUCUAUGGAGAAUAUCUAUAGGACUGUCAUUAUAAUGUGUAAUGGUGAGCUGUCAGA
This 166-nucleotide non-coding RNA is filed under the name Leptotrichia wadei. RNAcentral describes it as "Lysine riboswitch". It matches the Rfam family "Lysine riboswitch aptamer". From Rfam's summary of the family: Riboswitches are metabolite binding domains within certain messenger RNAs that serve as precision sensors for their corresponding targets. Allosteric rearrangement of mRNA structure is mediated by ligand binding, and this results in modulation of gene expression. The record is from RNAcentral. Lineage: Bacteria; Fusobacteriati; Fusobacteriota; Fusobacteriia; Fusobacteriales; Leptotrichiaceae.